AAGUCGUAACAAGGUUUCCGUAGGUGAACCUCGCGGAAGGAUCAUUAACACGUAUCCAACGUUAAACAACCCUGUGAACCUUCAUUCGUAGCUCCUCUGGCCCAUGAAAGCAGCAAUCCCUGGUAAAUCAUUGUUGACGUGUCUGAAAGUGUCGUUGAUAAUGUAAGGAUGGCGCAGUAAACGAUUGCUAGAGGCCCACACGGCGGCAACCGGAUCCUGGCUCACGCCCCUUAUCACCCCACAGUUUCCGACUGGGCAGCUGAUAACGGACGCCGUAAAAAACUGAACAACUGUUAACAAUGGAUAUCUUGGUUCUC
Molecule: unclassified non-coding RNA, 317 nt
Filed under: fungal sp.
Lineage: Eukaryota; Fungi
Description: partial internal transcribed spacer region
Rfam family: Eukaryotic small subunit ribosomal RNA (bases 1-47)
Source: RNAcentral